CAACUGAGUUUAUUUAAUGCGAUUCUGACUUUAUUUCUCAUAUUUGCAAAUUUAUUUGCAAGUUUCUAUUAUGCAAGUCUUAAUUUUUGCUCACAAUUGCAAGUCUAUAACACAAUUCUGACUUUGUAACUCGCAAUUGUGAGUUUAAUAUCCUGCAAUUCUGAGAAAAGAAUUGUGAGAAAAAAAGUCAGAAUUGUGAGAUGAAAAGUCGCAAUUACCUUUUUUUAUUUAGUUGCAAAAACUUUCUUCCACAGUUUUUAUUUAUGUUAAAAAAAAAAAAAAGCUAUUCAUAUUAGUUACACAUUCAACAACACUGUUCUGGUUGUUAGGAGGUUGCUAAGAUGUCCUAGGUGGUUGCUAAGAGGUUGCUAAGAUGUUCUGGCUGGUUGCUAAGAUGUUCUAGGUGGUUGCUAAGAUGUCCUGGCUGGUUGCUAAAAGGUUGCUAAGAUGGUCUGGCUGGUUGCUAAGAGGUUGCUAAGAUGUCCUGGCUGGUUGCUAAGAUGUCCUAGGUGGUUGCUAAGAGGUUGCUAAGAUGUCCUGGCUGGUUGCUAAGAUGUCCUAGGUGGUUGCUAAGAGGUUGCUAAGAUGUCCUGGCUGGUUGCUAAGAUGUUCUAGGUGGUUGCUAAGAGGUUGCUAAGAUGUCCUGGCUGGUUGCUAAGAUGUUCUGGGUGGUUGCUAAGAGGUUACUAAGAUGUUCUGGCUGGUUGCUAAGAUGUCCUAGGUAGUUCCUAAGAGGUUGCUAAGAUGUUCUGGGUGGUUGCUAGGAAGUUUCUAAGAUGUUUCGGUCAGUUGAUGGCAGUUUUCCUCUUGUCUGACAUGAAAAGACCUUUGCUCUGCAUCUGUGGGAUUUUUCGAUGUGUUUUAUUCAUUCAUCCAGCAGGUAAUAACUCAUAUUUAUGCAUUAAUGGUUUUCUGAGAUCAGUUCUGCGGAUGUCACCGGUGACCUUCAUCCACUGACAUCUGACCUCCGUCUGUAAUCAGACCUUCAUCUACAGCGACUUAAACAGAGAUGAAGAUAAAGAUGCACAUUAUGCUCUUCAGUCACACGAAAGCUCUCGACCUCCAGCUCUGCCGGCGUAUAAAGGCUGUAAGUGUCCUGUUUAGCUUUAACAAUGAUUCCCACACGAGAAUGCGCUCCUGUAUAUGAGUAUGUGGGUCGCGCUCAAGGCCACGCUUAUGUAAAUGCACAGACAACACAUUAGUUAGCAGGAUUUGUUGUUCAAAGCACGGUCCAGAUAAAUCACGCUCGCGCGGUGAAGAAUCGCCGCUGUCCUUACGGUAUCGUAGCAUUCAAACGCGCGUGCUGUUAACCCAGUUACACAGAGAGAAAUACAGCUCCCAUGAUUCCGCUGGGCUAUUUUCACACUCACCUCCCAUGACUCUCCGGCUGCGGCGGCUGCGUCAGCGUUCUGUGCCGCAGCGAGACAGUGAUCAAGCGCCCGGCACUUUCUGCAAGCCAGUCACAUUCAAAGUUUGUUUGCCAGCAUGGCAAUUUUAGUAAGAUAUUCCUCUCCCCGACAAAAACCUCUCCAAAGACUUCACGGAUUUCUGGAAGUCACCUUCCUCCCAUGUUGUGCGGGAACGGCAGAUUUUUCUCUUGCUUUGCAAAUCAUAACUUCAUGUUCUAGAAAUUAACAUUGAUUUUAUAUAUAUAUAUAUAUAUAUAUAU
Long non-coding RNA from Cyprinus carpio carpio, 1669 nucleotides. The record is from Ensembl. NCBI's taxonomy places the organism in Eukaryota, Metazoa, Chordata, Actinopteri, Cypriniformes, Cyprinidae.